GGGGCCGACCCGGUUUCGACGUGGGUGCGGAUCCGAUGCAGGGCAUGCCGAGCACCAGUACGCUCGCUAAUCCACUGGAAACGAAGUAACUGCGAACGACGAACGUUUCGCCCUCGCCGCUUAACACCGGCGAGCCUCGCAACAGCUGGCCGAUGGGCUGGGUCUGACACCGCAAGGUGAAGGGCUGCGAGGUCAUCCACAUCGGCUGUGCCGCGCGCCGGGCCACUCGGUGCGGGGCAAGAUCAAGUGGCUGGCAUCCCGGGCAGCGUGCUGCUGCGCGGCCCGGGGCGUGAGAUCCAAACCAGCCAGCUAAGCAUGUAGAACUGCCCGGAGAAGGCUUGCGGACGGGGGUUCGAUUCCCCCCGGCUCCACCA
This 374-nucleotide transfer-messenger RNA is filed under the name Burkholderiales. Its description in RNAcentral is "Rubrivivax_A sp017302495 Standard tmRNA". It matches the Rfam family "transfer-messenger RNA". From Rfam's summary of the family: Bacterial tmRNA, also known as 10Sa RNA or SsrA, is named for its dual tRNA and mRNA-like properties. Its role is to liberate the mRNA from a stalled ribosome. The record is from RNAcentral. Lineage: Bacteria; Pseudomonadati; Pseudomonadota; Betaproteobacteria. RNAcentral also lists the same sequence under 1 other name.